AUUGAACGCUGGCGGCAGGCCUAACACAUGCAAGUCGAGCAGUAGAGAGGUGCUUGCAUCUCUUGAGAGCGGCGGACGGGUGAGUAAUGCCUAGGAAUCUGCCUAGUGGUGGGGGAUAACGUUCGGAAACGGACGCUAAUACCGCAUACGUCCUACGGGAGAAAGCGGGGGAGUCUUCGGACCUCGCGCCAUUAGAUGAGCCUAGGUCGGAUUAGCUAGUUGGUGAGGUAAUGGCUCACCAAGGCGACGAUCCGUAACUGGUCUGAGAGGAUGAUCAGUCACACUGGAACUGAGACACGGUCCAGACUCCUACGGGAGGCAGCAGUGGGGGAAUAUUGGACAAUGGGCGAAAGACCUGAUCCAGCCAUGCGCGUGUGUGAAGAAGGUACGUUCGGA
This 396-nucleotide ribosomal RNA is filed under the name uncultured bacterium. RNAcentral describes it as "bacterial SSU rRNA". It matches the Rfam family "Bacterial small subunit ribosomal RNA", at positions 30 to 422 of the family's 1533-position model. The record is from RNAcentral.